RNAcentral lists this unclassified non-coding RNA (1125 nucleotides) under Hevea brasiliensis (rubber tree). Lineage: Eukaryota; Viridiplantae; Streptophyta; Magnoliopsida; Malpighiales; Euphorbiaceae. The record is from RNAcentral.
UUUUUUUUUUUAUUUUUUUAUUUUCCCCCUUCUAAUCUCCUACCAAAUGAAGUUCUUAACUGCAAAAAAUUUUCCAACUGUUUCCAAUUGUGUUGUCAUCAUAAAGGAAAUUAUACCUUACAAUUUUCGAAGUAGCAAUCCAUUGAACAAUUGCGGGUGAAAGAAAAAAGAAUUUUGUUACUAUGUUCUGAGAUGAGAUACAAAAUGUUUUCACAGUACAAGUUUAUGAGACUCUGUAUGCUUUAGUAGUUUACUUUAUCUUGAAGUUUCUGGUGACUUUCACAUUUGACAGUUAUUGGUUAGUGCUUACCUGGAUUUUUUCUAGCAGGAAGAGAAUAUGAUAAAGGAAAUGAGAGAAGUGGGACAUAGACACACAAUUUCUUUAUUAAGUGCUAUAGAAACAGGAAUUGGCAGGAAACUACUUGAAAAAGAACUUCAAAUACAGAACAUGAAUCGCAAGAACAAUGAACUAGCAGAAAAAGUAAAGCAAAUUAGUACAGAAGUUCAUUCCUGGCAGUGCAGAGCAAAGUAUAAUGAGUCUCUAGUUAAUGCUUUGAAAAGCAAUCUGAAGCAGGUAAUGGCACAGUGCAUUAGUCAUUGCAAGGAAGGGUGUGGGGAUAGUGAGGUAGAUAAUGCAGCAUUUAAUGCUAAUCAGAACCAUAAGAGCAUCAUGGGAGGAAACUCAAUCUCCUUCGAAAGGCAGAUUACUUGUAGAGCUUGCAAAUCAAAGGAAGCCUCUAUCUUAUUAUUGCCAUGUAGACAUUUGUGUUUGUGUAAAGAUUGUGCAGGGUUCGUAGAUACUUGCCCAAUUUGCCAGACAAGGAAAACUGCAGGUGUUGAAGUAUUUAUGUCUUAAACUAUGUUACGUUGUUAAGGCAUAUAUCUAAGCACUUGUAAUCUUCAUGGCAUAUAGGGAAACGAGUUUGUUUAAAUUAUGUUGUUUCGAUGGUUCUGGGUUUUGUGCUUGAACAUAUUAGCGAGUUUGAUGCCAUGCCUUUUUACCAGAAAGGCUAGUCAGAACUUGAAGGAGUCAUCUUAUUCUAUUAAUCUAUCUAUUCUAACUAGUUGUGGCAGCUUUCCGCAGAUAAUUGGAAGAUGAUGGGAACUGCGCUUUUUUUUUUUUUU